RNAcentral lists this ribosomal RNA (586 nucleotides) under uncultured bacterium. RNAcentral describes it as "partial 16S ribosomal RNA". It matches the Rfam family "Bacterial small subunit ribosomal RNA", at positions 355 to 1375 of the family's 1533-position model. The record is from RNAcentral.
UGGGGAAUUUUGGACAAUGGGGGAAACCCUGAUCCAGCCAUCCCGCGUGUGCGAUGAAGGCCUUCGGGUUGUAAAGCACUUUUGGCAGGAAAGAAACGUCGCGGGUUAAUACCCCGCGAAACUGACGGUACCUGCAGAAUAAGCACCGGCUAACUACGUGCCAGCAGCCGCGGUAAUACGUAGGGUGCAAGCGUUAAUCGGAAUUACUGGGCGUAAAGCGUGCGUAGGCGGUUCGGAAAGAAAGAUGUGAAAUCCCAGAGCUUAACUUUGGAACUGCAUUUUUAACUACCGGGCUAGAGUGUGUCAGAGGGAGGUGGAAUUCCGCGUGUAGCAGUGAAAUGCGUAGAUAUGCGGAGGAACACCGAUGGCGAAGGCAGCCUCCUGGGAUAACACUGACGCUCAUGCACGAAAGCGUGGGGGGCAAACAGGAUUAGAUACCCUGGUAGUCCACGCCCUAAACGAUGUCAACUAGCUGUUGGGGCCUUCGGGCCUUGGUAGCGCAGCUAACGCGUGAAGUUGACCGCCUGGGGAGUACGGUCGCAAGAUUAAAAACUUAAAUGAAUUGACGGGGUCAUAGCUGUUUCCU